RNAcentral lists this ribosomal RNA (371 nucleotides) under uncultured bacterium. RNAcentral describes it as "bacterial SSU rRNA". It matches the Rfam family "Bacterial small subunit ribosomal RNA", at positions 527 to 896 of the family's 1533-position model. The record is from RNAcentral.
GGAGGGGGCUAGCGUUAUUCGGAAUUAUUGGGCGUAAAGGGCGCGUAGGCGGCCCGGUAAGUCAAAGGUGAAAUCCCUCGGCUCAACUGAGGAACUGCCUUUGAAACUGUCGGGCUUGAGGCCGGGAGGGGGUAGCGGAAUUCCCAGUGUAGCGGUGAAAUGCGUAGAUAUUGGGAGGAACACCGGUGGCGAAGGCGGCUACCUGGACCGGUUCUGACGCUGAUGCGCGAAAGCGUGGGUAGCAAACAGGAUUAGAUACCCUGGUAGUCCACGCUGUAAACGAUGGGUGCUCGGUGUCGCGGGUAUCGACCCCUGCGGUGCCUUAGCUAACGCGUUAAGCACCCCGCCUGGGAAGUACGACCGCAAGGUUA